Long non-coding RNA from Humulus lupulus (European hop), 843 nucleotides. RefSeq lists it as uncharacterized. Lineage: Eukaryota; Viridiplantae; Streptophyta; Magnoliopsida; Rosales; Cannabaceae. The transcript is spliced from 4 exons. The record is from RefSeq and is a predicted model, not a curated record.
CUUAUUUCUAGGUUAAAAAAUUGCCCCAGUAAUCGUGACCCCCUCCACCCUCGUUUGACCUCGCGCGCAGCACCUCUUCCAUGACGGCGCCCCCCACCUCCAUUCGACAACCACGGACAGCACCCCAACACAGUAGCCCAGCCGUCGUUCGACCCCAAGACAACAACCCCGCCAUUGCUCAACAUCCACAACAGUUUGUGUGACUGGAGUCAACCUCUAUUCUCCGGCGACUGGAUUCUUCCUUCUCAGGCGACAACACCUCAGGAGCACUACGGAUUCUCCAGACCAUCAUGGUUAGUAGAUGGUAACAGAAUCUCUACAAAGAUCAAGAGUGCAUCUAGCAACCGUGAUCUUGAAAGAAUUAAUUGGAAAAGCAACCCAGCUAGAGCCUGUCCUAAUUGUGAAUUUGUGAUUGACAACAAUGAAAAUGUUUCAGUUGCUGUAGUCUGCUUAUUCUACAAUAAGCAUCCCAGACACUGCUCUUUUUCUAGGAAUGAACGAGGAUAAUGCCACAAAUUAUUCAACAAGUCAAGUGCAAAAGAAAAUCUGAUUUGGAAGGCUUUGGUGUGUUGACAUUUGGAAGAUCAUGAAUUCCUACCUUUACUUUUGCAUAUGCAACUGUUUAAGACUAUUUUGUUCACUAUUGUGAGAAUUUUUUUUUAUGUUAAUUAGGCAGUGUUGAAUAUCUUAAGACUUUUGCAUUAUUUUUUUAGAUAAUCUCGAAUGUAUUUUGACACAAUUAUUUUGUUAUAUGUGUUAUGAACCAUAUAAUUGGUACUCAAAAAUAUAUUUGUACAAUGUUAAGGGUGUUUUUAGUAUAUUAAAUGAAGCGGGUUUGAAUUA